This is a non-coding RNA of Camellia sinensis, 984 nucleotides long. The record is from RefSeq and is a predicted model, not a curated record. Lineage: Eukaryota; Viridiplantae; Streptophyta; Magnoliopsida; Ericales; Theaceae.
UUGAAUGGAGGACACAUCUCUCGACUGAGAUAAAAUCUCACUUGUGCUUUCCAGGAAAAUAGCGAAUGGAAUGAUUGGCAAACUACUGUUUUGCAGGAGCGUAAUAUUGUGGAAAAUGUCUACAGAUGGGCUUGCGGGCGCCCAACUGCAUUGCAAGAUAGGACAAGGGAUAGUGAUGAGGAUGAUCUUCAUGACAGAGAUUUUGAUGUAGCAGCUUUAGCAAAUAAUCUUAGCCAAGCAUUUAGAUACUCGAUAUAUGAUAAUGAGGAUGCUGAGGAGGGCAAUGGGGCUCUUGAUCGAGUUGAUGAGCUAUGCAUAUGUUGAUUACAGUCGUGAAGAACUUUCUUAUAUUGAUGAGUUAUAGUGAAUAAUAGGAACUGAAGGAAUGAAUUGAGUGGUUGCGAAGUGUUUUCAUUGUAAUUCAGUGAGCUCAAGAAUCUCUGUGGUUCUUUCUUGAAUAAUGGGUUCAAGAAUUCAGAUCUGUUUGCUGGUUGUUUCUGUCCAAAUUUUACUUGUAGCAGCGCAAACGAAUAAUGACUCCCCAGGUCUUUCAGCAAUCAAAGGAAAGCCUUACUCAAAUAGGGACUGGGUUUGAAUAUAGGCUGAAACAUGAGUUGAAGGGUCCUAGCUAUGGUCUUCUCGAUUCACCACUGCGAGAUUUUAAAUGCAUGUCCUUGAUUGGGUUAUAAGAAGCCAUUUCUGUCUGGAGUUUUCUAAUUUACCUGGGAAUAAUUUCCACAAUGUAAGGAUGUGAAUCCCUUCCCACCUCUGGAAUACAUAGUUGCAUUCCUACUAUGUGUUAACUGCUUUCCGAAACUAGAAAUCUUAGGUCUUAUUUAGCAUCAAGUUUUCAGCCUGCAUACUAGUUUUGGGGUCACUUGGGAGCAAGCUUUAGAUGUCCCAGUUCUUUAACCGAAAUAUCAAAUGUUCUUGAUUAUUCAGAAGUGGUAAUCCUUGAAAUAAUAAUUCUUGGUCAAAUGAAAU